Molecule: ribosomal RNA, 253 nt
Filed under: uncultured bacterium
Lineage: Bacteria
Description: partial 16S ribosomal RNA
Rfam family: Bacterial small subunit ribosomal RNA
Source: RNAcentral
UACGUAGGGCGCAAGCGUUAUCCGGAUUCACUGGGUUUAAAGGGUGCGUAGGCGGGUUUUUAAGUCAGCGGUGAAAGCUCCGGGCUCAACUCGGAAAUUGCUUUGCAUACUGGCAGGCUGGAGGGACGCAGAGGUCUGUGGAAUUCCUGGUGUAACGGUGAAAUGUGUUGAUAUCAGGAGGAACACCCAUGGCGAAGGCAGCAGACUGGGCGUUUCCUGACGCUGAGGCGCGAAAGCGUGGGUAGCAAACAGG